UCUUCACACUGGGUAGUAGUCCCUCAACGAAUACAUCGUUCAGCUCGCAAACAUGAAAACUGUCAUAGUACUGCUCGCCCUAGUGGCUGUUGCCACAGCAAUGCAGCCAUUUUAUCACCCACAAGACCAAUUUCCCAUGGUUGAAAUCAUGCCCAUAAAAACUUUAGGUAACAGACAGUUGGGCAAAAUUGUCGAAUCGCUUGCAGGGCUUGUUGAAGGAUUUCUUAAUGUUUUCGAAGCAACACGCCGUGGCGAUCCUGUUGAUCGUGAGAACAUGCGUCAGCUUGGCAUUUUGAUCUCACUUUUACCUUCCAUCGUAGAUACUAUCUAUGGAAUAUUUGGUCAUCCAGCAUAAUUUGAAAAGGAUUUCCAACCCACAAGUGAAGUGAGACUUUCACUGAAAGGCCUCAAAGAAAUGAGAGCUGUGAUGGAAAUGGACGAUCAUAAAUUUCACUAUUGGCAUAAAUAAAUCUACAUUCAUGCAUGCAAA
Anopheles merus is the source of this 490-nucleotide long non-coding RNA. RefSeq lists it as uncharacterized. The record is from RefSeq and is a predicted model, not a curated record. The transcript has 2 exons. NCBI's taxonomy places the organism in Eukaryota, Metazoa, Arthropoda, Insecta, Diptera, Culicidae.